CACGUAGUUAGCCGUGGCUUUCUGAUUAGGUACCGUCAAGAUGUGCACAGUUACUUACACAUUUGUUCUUCCCUAAUAACAGAGUUUUACGAGCCGAAACCCUUCAUCACUCACGCGGCGUUGCUCCGUCAGGCUUUCGCCCAUUGCGGAGGAUUCCCUACUGCUGCCUCCCGUAGGAGUCUGGACCGUGUCUCAGUUCCAGUGUGGCCGAUCACCCUCUCAGGUCGGCUACGUAUCGUCGCCUUGGUAAGCCGUUACCUUACCAACUAGCUAAUACGGCGCGGGUCCAUCUAUAAGUGAUAGCAAAACCAUCUUUCACUUUAGAACCAUGCGGUUCUAAAUGUUAUCCGGUAUUAGCUCCGGUUUCCCGAAGUUAUCCCAGUCUUAUAGGUAGGUUACCCACGUGUUACUCACCCGUCCGCCGCUAACUUCAAAGGAGCAAGCUCCUUAUCUGUUCGCUCGACUUGCAUGUAUUAGGCACGCCGCCAGCGUUCAUCCUGAGCCAGGAUCAAACUCU
Molecule: ribosomal RNA, 517 nt
Filed under: uncultured Staphylococcus sp.
Lineage: Bacteria; Bacillati; Bacillota; Bacilli; Caryophanales; Staphylococcaceae
Description: partial 16S ribosomal RNA
Source: RNAcentral